Molecule: ribosomal RNA, 406 nt
Filed under: uncultured bacterium
Lineage: Bacteria
Description: bacterial SSU rRNA
Rfam family: Bacterial small subunit ribosomal RNA
Source: RNAcentral
GUGGGGAAUAUUGCGCAAUGGGGGAAACCCUGACGCAGCAACGCCGCGUGAAGGGUGAAGGCUUUCGGGUUGUAAACUUCUUUGAUGAGGGACGAAAGAAAUGACGGUACCUCAAAAACAAGCCACGGCUAACUACGUGCCAGCAGCCGCGGUAAUACGUAGGUGGCGAGCGUUGUCCGGAAUUACUGGGUGUAAAGGGCGUGUAGGCGGGGAUGCAAGUCAGAUGUGAAAUGCCGGGGCUUAACUCCGGAGCUGCAUCUGAAACUGUGUUUCUUGAGUGUCGGAGAGGAAAGCGGAAUUCCCAGUGUAGCGGUGAAAUGCGUAGAUAUUGGGAGGAACACCAGUGGCGAAGGCGGCUUUCUGGACGAUAACUGACGCUGAGGCGCGAAAGCGUGGGGAGCAAACA